AACGAACGCUGGCGGCAUGCCUAACACAUGCAAGUCGAACGAGACCUUCGGGUCUAGUGGCGCACGGGUGCGUAACGCGUGGGAACCUGCCCUUAGGUUCGGAAUAACUCCCCGAAAGGGGUGCUAAUACCGGAUAAUGUCUUCGGACCAAAGAUUUAUCGCCUUUGGAUGGGCCCGCGUUGGAUUAGCUAGUUGGUAGGGUAAAAGCCUACCAAGGCGACGAUCCAUAGCUGGUCUGAGAGGAUGAUCAGCCACACUGGGACUGAGACCCGGCCCAGACUCCUACGGGAGGGUGCAGUGGGGUACACUGGACAAUGGGCGAAGGUCUGAUCCAGCAGUGCCGCGUGAGUGAUGCAGGCGUUAGGGUUGUAAAGCCCUUUGACCCGGGAUGUGUAUGACAGUACCGGGAGAAUAAGCCCCGGCUAACUCCGUG
Molecule: ribosomal RNA, 433 nt
Filed under: uncultured bacterium
Lineage: Bacteria
Description: partial 16S ribosomal RNA
Rfam family: Bacterial small subunit ribosomal RNA
Source: RNAcentral